AGGGCCGCGCCGUUACCGCGGGGCUGUCAUGGCUGCCGGGGGACGCCCGGCGGCCCCGGGGGGGAGUUGAGGCCGAGACUGACGGAAAGAAACGCCACGGGCGCUCCUGAUCUGCCCCUAACGGCUCCGCGGGCAGGCGACGUCCAGCCGCGGGGCUGGGUGAGGGGUGUCCGGGGCCGGGAGCCUCUGACGGGGGCGGCAGCGGCGGCCGCCGCCGGCCUGGAGAAGGCCGGAGAGGCGGGCCCGGCUUAACCCGCCUCUUCUUUCUUUUCCAGUCGGGCCAGCUGGUGUGUAAGCUUAGGCUUACCUUUUGGAUGGACGGGAACGUUAAUCAAAAAGCUUUGUUUUGUGAGAGCCUUCAGGGGAAACACGGGGGAAAGACCUUGCUUUGAUCAUCUACAGACUGAUUUACCAGAAGGGAAAACUACACCAACAAACUAUGACAGAAGAAGGGAUGCAAACCACUAAAAAAGAGGCGGUGAUACCAGAGACCAUAUGGACCUCAGCAGAAAAGGCAUUGGAAAUAG
This is a long non-coding RNA of Harpia harpyja (harpy eagle), 527 nucleotides long. RefSeq lists it as uncharacterized. Lineage: Eukaryota; Metazoa; Chordata; Aves; Accipitriformes; Accipitridae. The transcript is spliced from 3 exons. The record is from RefSeq and is a predicted model, not a curated record.